AUACCCUAUUAUUUUUAUUGUAAAUAGAAAAACCUGAGUAUUAGUAGUUAUGAUCUUGAAACUUAAAGAAUUUGGCGGUAUUAUAGUCUAUUUAGAGGAAUCUGUUUUGUAAUCGAUAGUCCACGUUGAACCUUACUUGUAUUAAAUUUCUUGUAUACCGCUGUUUAUGAAUAUACUUUUAGGUUAUUUUCUUAAUAUUUGAUUAAAUAAUAUUUCAAGUCAAGGUGCAGUAAUGUACAAGUUGAAUAAUGGAUUACAAUAAAUUUUAUUUAUUACGGAUAACUGUUGAAAUAUAAGUAUUGAAGGUGGAUUUAAUUGUAAUUUUUUGAAGAUUGUUAAAAUGAUUUAUAGCUCUAUAAUAUGCACACAUCGCCC
Molecule: ribosomal RNA, 375 nt
Filed under: Eremiaphila sp. MN192
Lineage: Eukaryota; Metazoa; Arthropoda; Insecta; Mantodea; Eremiaphilidae
Description: partial 12S ribosomal RNA
Source: RNAcentral